This 45-nucleotide small RNA is filed under the name Staphylococcus aureus. Its description in RNAcentral is "HMPRFS0000_0629". The record is from RNAcentral. Lineage: Bacteria; Bacillati; Bacillota; Bacilli; Caryophanales; Staphylococcaceae.
UCCUGUUGACGUCCCGUUAAAUAUAAAUACUGCUCUUUUACAUAG